CCUACGGGAGGCAGCAGUGGGGAAUAUUGCACAAUGGGGGAAACCCUGAUGCAGCGACGCCGCGUGAGUGAAGAAGGAUUUCGGUACGUAAAGCUCUAUCAGCAGGGAAGAAAAUGACGGUAUCUGACUAAGAUGCGCCGGCUAACUACGUGCCAGCAGCCGCGGUAAUACGUAGGGGGCGAGCGUUAUCCGGAUUUACUGGGUGUAAAGGGAGCGUAGACGGCAGCGCAAGUCUGGAGUGAAAUCCCAUGGCUUAACCAUGGAACUGCUUUGGAAACUGUGCAGCUAGAGUGCAGGAGAGGUAAGCGGAAUUCCUAGUGUAGCGGUGAAAUGCGUAGAUAUUAGGAGGAACACCAGUGGCGAAGGCGGCUUACUGGACUGUAACUGACGUUGAGGCUCGAAAGCGUGGGGAGCAAACAGGAUUAGAUACCCCAGUAGUC
RNAcentral lists this ribosomal RNA (440 nucleotides) under uncultured bacterium. RNAcentral describes it as "partial 16S ribosomal RNA". It matches the Rfam family "Bacterial small subunit ribosomal RNA", at positions 338 to 795 of the family's 1533-position model. The record is from RNAcentral.